This 282-nucleotide unclassified non-coding RNA is filed under the name Hevea brasiliensis (rubber tree). The record is from RNAcentral. Lineage: Eukaryota; Viridiplantae; Streptophyta; Magnoliopsida; Malpighiales; Euphorbiaceae.
UUCAACAUCAUUGUUUGAUUUCCACCAGAACCCCACAUUGGAUUUAAAGAAAGCUACCCUUCUUGUACUGUACCUUCCACACCUUCAUUUCCAUCUAAUGCUGCCUCCAAUUCCUACUUAUCAAUUACUUCUAUCAGUUGCAACACAUAAACUUGCCUUUUUUUGCAUUUAUGCCCAGGUGUAUAUUUCUCAUCACACCAAUAACAAAAGUUCUUAGACCUCUUUUCGUCUAUAUCUUUGCCAAUUAAAGUACUAGGGAAUCUUGGAGUCAUGGGUAGUCGG